This is a long non-coding RNA of Monodelphis domestica (gray short-tailed opossum), 11883 nucleotides long. RefSeq lists it as uncharacterized. Lineage: Eukaryota; Metazoa; Chordata; Mammalia; Didelphimorphia; Didelphidae. The record is from RefSeq and is a predicted model, not a curated record.
UCUACUUUUGAGAGGGGAAUGUUGAGAUAUUCCCCACUACUAAUAUUUUUAUUUUAUUUUUCCUUCUGUAACUUCUUUAAUUCUUCCUUUAUGAAUAUGGAUGCUAUGCCAUUUGAUGCAUAAAUGUUUAAUAAUGAUAUUGUUUUCAUUAUCUAUCAUACCUUUUAUCGUUAUGUACUUUCUUUCCUUAUUUCCUUUGAUCAGAUCAGUCUGCUUUUGAUUUGUCUGAAAUCAGAUUUGCUAUCCUGGCUUUUAUUACUUUAUUUGAGGCAUAGUAUAUGCUACUCGAGCCUCUUUUAUUCUGUGUGUGUUGUCUCCAUGUUUUAAAUGUGUUUCUUGUGGGCAGAAUAAUGUGGUGUUCUGGUUUUUUUAAACAACUCUGCUAUCCUUUUCUGUUUCAUGUGUAAAUUCAGCCCAUUCAUGAAUCCACAUACAUCAUUACUAAUUGUGUUUUCAUGCAUCUUAUUUUCCCCGUUUAUUUUUCUCUUUCUCUCUUCUUAGCUUUUCCAUGUUCACAGAUGUUUUGUUAUUGACUAUCACCUCCCCCAAUUCAACCCUCCUUUUUUGUUCACCCUCAAUCCCUUAUUCUCUCUAACCUCCUACUUCCCUAUAGGGUAAGAUAAGUUUCUACAGAUGAAUAUGGCUGUUAUUUCCUUUUUGAGCUAGUUCUGAUGAGAGUAAGGUCCAAUCAGAGUUAAAGCACAUCUCCUCCACUGGAUUUGCUGUUUAUGUGCCUGUUAAGGAGAAAUAGUUUGCCUCCUUCUGUAAAAAAUAGACUCGAAUACAGGACUACAAUCCCCAUGAGCCUUUGCUCCACUUCCCCAGAAUGCCUUGUAAUCUCACCUGGGCCGAGAUGGAGAAGAUAUUUAAGCAAAGGCUUUUGAAGGGCUCGGCUUUUUGGACUUCCGUUUUUGGAGCAGAGGCGUCUCUUCCAUGAUAUGAGGUUAUUUUGUCUAGGCCUCUGGCCUAGGCACAUGUUUCUUACUUGUAUAUUCUUAAUCUUUAACCUUUAAUAAACCUCUAAAAAAUAUAUAUUCCUUGCAGAGAGAAACUAAUUUCUACCUGCCUCAGUCUCCCCAUCUCCCCUAAAUUUUAACUGUUACAGUUGGCGACCACUAGAUUGGAUGAGAACUUCUCAAAAAAAAUUUUUAGCCUAGAGAAUUUUUUUUAAAGCCAAGGUUCUCCGAGAUGCUCUUUAGAAAACCAUCUUGAUCAGCUCCUGCCUGCGGCCCUCUCCGGCUCCUGCAUCUGCUCCUGGCCUCUCACCUGGUGCCUGAGCUGUGCUCCAGCUCCCAGCCCGACACACCCCGGCAGUCUGUCUCUCACCCAUCUGGCUUCCGACCCAGCCGGCUCAUUACCCAGAUCCUUGGAGCAGAUUGCUGAGGACUCAUUGCAACCAGCUGGUAACAGUAUUGGCCACGUGGGCGGAGGGGAGAGACCAGAGGGAAAGGAGAACGGGCAAUUUUCCCUUAGGCUAAGCCUCCACGUGGCUGGGGGUAUUGGCUGCAGGGGUAUCAGAGAGGGGAAAGAGAGAAAAGACUAGAGAGAAGAAACAGACUUUUCAAACAGAAACCUAAAAAGCAAUGGGCUGUUUAAAAGGAUUUUUGACUCUUCUGGCAAUUUCAUUGAUUUUGCCUGCCUGUCUGGGAGCAGACUCAGCCAAAAGAUUCAACUUUAACUUUGGGGAGGAAAAUGGGUGGCCCAGCGAACUGGAAGCCAGGCCCAGAGACGGGAGGUCUCUAGUUAAAAUCUGGCCUCCGAUGCUUCCCAGCUAUGGGGCCCUGGACGGAUCCCUUGAACCCCGUAGCCUAGCCUUUACUACUCUACCUUCGGACAAUAGACAUUUAAAUGGAUAAUUAAAAACAAACAAACAAGAAAAAACAACCCAAGGAACUUUGAAGAGACUAAAGGCUCUAAGGCAUUUCAGACUCUAAUGGUUUAUUAAAAAAUCUCUGUAUUCUAUUGCAUUUUUUGUUUAAGGUUUAACUUUGUGAUUUUAAGUUCAUAUAUUACUGGAUUGAAUAUUAUUCUGUGAACUGAAGGUUGAUUGAAUUUAUUUUGAAUGUACUGAGUUUUGAAAUUCUGUUGUUUUUCCCCUAUAACUGUGUUGAACAAAUAUUGUUGUGAAUAAGCCCAUAUAUGAAAAAACAGCUUUUUUCUAUUUUGCUGAGGAUAGAUGGACUUCAGAACUGGUUAUAAUUGUAUUAACAACCUUUGGAAUUUUAAUGUGCUAAAUACCUCAAAUGAUUUGAUUUUAAGGGUUUUUUAAAUAUGAUUUUGGAAUUUUUUUAACAGUCUGGUUAUUUUUGCCUGCCCCUACCACGAGGUAAGGCCCAUUCUAGUAGCUGAAGUGAAAUGUAUUUUAUAACCCCCAACCUUCCCACAUGCGAAUGGAAGUUGGGCAGUUAAUUUCAGGGCAAUUGUACCCUUGGGAAAAGCCUCCAAAAGGAGCACCCCUUUAUUUAUGCUCUUUAGCUCACUAUUUUACUUCUACCAGAAUGAUAUAUAGAUUUCUUGAUUAUGUUCUUAACCCAAGAUGAGUUUUACUUUGUUUAAAAAAUAUGUUUAAAUACCAAGGUUGAAGGAUUGCUAUGUUUGUAAAAAUUGUGACAAAUGUCCAUAAAUUCAUAAGUUUUAAAAAUGUCAUACAGCAACUUAUGUGAAAUAUGAAAGUGUGUUUGUUUGCUAUUGUAAUUAAUUGGGCUAUUGAGAAUUUUGGGGAUUUUGAUAUCUACAUAUUUGUACUACUGUAUUUUUAAAAGAUGAAAAAUUGUUAACCUUGUUCAAUUCAUUUGCCCUCUACUCACAGUGAUCAUGGCCAGAUACAAAGAGGAAAUGGAUCUCAUUUUUUGGUGAGAAAGCCUUGCAUUUUAUAUUUUCUUAACUGACACAGAGUGUCAAUGGUUAUAAGCUAUAUUUUUGAAUUUUUUAAAGCUCUUUUAUUGUUAUAUUUUUCUUGCAUGUGCAAUAUACUUUUUCAGUUUUUAAUUAUUUUUUCUUUCCUUUUUAUAUUUGAAGCACAUGUCACCAGUAUUAAGAUUUUCUUUAACCUUUUGAUUUUCAGUGCUACAAGUUUAAGAUACAUUUGCUAAUGCAUGCCCUAAAAAGCUUGUGACUAUGAAAAUGAUUCCACUAAUUAUUUAAAUAAAUUAUGGGACUUUGCUUAAUGAUUCUGUCUGAUUCCAGGACAAGAGCUACACACAAGAGCCAUUUCAUGGGGCCAAAGAAAGGCCAAUCUAGGAUGAAUUGAUGCACUUCUAAGCCAAUACAAAGGUCUUGAACCUAGUGUGAAGACUCGAGGUUACUAUGUUUAACAUGUGUUAAGACAUAGGCUUUCCUUGUAUCUACACUCACUCUGAAGAUACUCAAAGAUGAGUAUCCCCAAAAACCUUGGCUCCUACUUAGCUUCUAUAAUCUGGUCCCCUUUUCUGCCUCUCAUAGUGUGGUACCUUUCUGUAGUCCUGGCGCUGAUUGGGUAAAUGCAUCAUUACUUAGAUCAUUUUGAUUGGGCCCUGAUUGAAGGACCUGUUAUAGAUUUAUUUUUCUUCUACUUGGAAUUUUUACACAUAAGACUUUGAUAGUCUAUAUUUUCAUCCAGAAAUUUUUCUUUUCUUUUGGAUUUUCUGAUGUCUUUUUUAAUAUCUCUUGCCAAUUGAUUCAUAUACCUCAUACCUCAGCCAUGCAUCCCUAACCGAUUCUGAAUCUUUCAAUCACCCACAACACGGGGGAAUGUAAAAAAUAUCAUUAUUUAAAUUGCAAAGUUUAAAUUCCUUUUGAGAAGAAUUUUAGGUGAAGAAGAUGCUACCUCUCUGAAUCCAGAACUGAACUGUUGGAGAAGCCACCAUGAAGAAGCCUCCAGACCACAAGUUGCACAAAAUUGAACUUUGGGUGUGGUUGAUUGAACAUUUAUUUGUAUGUAUACUUUUAUGCCAAAGGGGACUGCCCCCUAACGGCUUUUUGUCAAUGUGUUCAGAAAUUAUUGGUUUUAUUCUUUUUUCUCUUAUCCUCACACUAUUGUAAUCUUUUAAGUUUAUUAUGUUUUUAUGAUCCUUUUGGGGAAAAAUUAAUUUUUCCACAAAUGAUCACACGGGGGGAUGUAAAAAAUAGACUCGAAUACAGGACUACAAUCCCCAUGAGCCUUUGCUCCACUUCCCCAGAAUGCCUUGUAAUCUCACCUGGGCCGAGAUCGAGAAGAUAUUUAAGCAAAGGCUUUUGAAGGGCUCGGCUUUUUGGACUUCCGUUUUUGGAGCAGAGGCGUCUCUUCCAUGAUGUGAGGUUAUUUUGUCUAGGCCUCUGGCCUAGGCACAUGUUUCUUACUUGUAUAUUCUUAAUCUUUAACCUUUAAUAAACCUCUAAAAAAUAUAUAUUCCUUGCAGAGAGAAACUAAUUUCUACCUGCCUCAGUCUCCCCAUCUCCCCUAAAUUUUAACUGUUACACUUCUAGAUCUCCUUUUCUCUCUUCUCCAUUUAUUCCUCUUUCCCAUUCCCUCCCUUUUAAUAUCAUCCCAUCUUAUUUAGCUUCCUUUCUUUGAUGCAUACCCCUUUUAUUGCUCCAAUAUUAAGUAUUUUAGAUACUUUAAUCUUAAGUAUUAUUUUCAAUAUUAAGUAUUUUAGAUUCUUUAGCUUUAGCUUGCCUUUGAAAUAUUAUAGAUGUCUUAAUUAUUUCAAUGAUCAUCUUGCCAGGUAUGAAUGAACUCAAUUCAACUUUUGCAAAACUAUCAAGUAUUCUUCUUCUCUUGAGUAUUGAACUUAGUAUCAAAUUUUGCUUUCAACUUUUUUGCGUGAGAAAAGUCCGAAAUUUCUCUAUUUCAUUAAAGAGCAAUUGUUACCUUUUGGAAGAUUAAUCUUGGUUUUACUCAGUGUAUAAUUCUAGGUUUCAGUCCUAGAAUCUACUUUUCAGAAUGUCAUAUUCUGUGCCUUCCAGUCCUUUAAUGUAAAAACUGCUAUGUCCUGGAGAAUCCUGACUAUGGCUCCUCAAUAUUUAAAAUGUUUCCUUCUGGCAGCUUCUACCACUUUUUCUGUGGCCUGGGAGUUCUAGAAUUUGGUUAUAGUAGUACUGGGGUAUUUUAUUUUGGGUUCUCUUUCAGGAAGAGAUAGGUGGAUUCUCUCUAUUUCUAUUUCCCCCUCUUGUUUGAGGAUAUCGUAAUAUUCCCUGAUGACUUCUUUUACUAUGGAAUUCAGGAUUUUCUUUUGAUCGUGGUUUUCAGGUAUUCUGAUGAUCCUUAGAUGACUUCUCCUGGGUCUAUUUUCUAGGCUGGUCAUAUUUACAAUUGAAGUAUUUCAGACUUUCUUCUUUUUUUUGUUAAAUUUUGGAUUUCGUUUUAUUGUUUCUUGCUUAUAGUUUCAUUAACUUCCAUCAGUCCAAUUCUAAUUUUAAGGAGUUUUCUUCUUUGAGUUCUUGGGUUUCCUUUUCUACUUGGCUGUCUUUUCUUUAAAGGGUUGUUUUCUUCAUGUUUUGUUUCGUUUUGAUUUUUAUUGUUUUGGUUUUGGGUUGUUGUUUUUUUUUGGCCUCUAUUCCCAUUUGGUGGAUUCAAUUAAUUAGGAAGUUUUUUUCUUCAAUGAUUUUUUCCCCCAGAUAUUGAGUUUUUCAAUUAGUUCCCUUAUAUUUUUUAACUUCUUCCAGGGAUUCUUUUUAAGAUCUAAACUCCUUGCCCACUUUCUUUUGAGGCUUGACAUGUCUCCUUUAUGGCAUUGUUGUCCUCUUCUGGGUCCAUAUAUUGAUCUUCCUUGUCACUAAAGUACCUUUCCCAGGUCAGUUUUUUCUUAUUUUACUUGUUUUUCAAUUUUUUCUUUCCUUUGUAACCAUAUUUAUCUUUUGAGAUCCUUCUCUGUUCCUGGAGUAAAAGGGUAUAUUGCUCUAAGAUUACAGAGUACUCUUCUCUGGUAUUUGGUGUAGGACUAGCUGCCCUUGUUCCUCAUGGUUUGUCUGUCACGGAGACAGCAGUACUGGCAUGUUCUGGGGUGGUUGGCAACUGUUUCAUUCAACUAUAUUUAGCAUAAUGACUUACCAGUUCCCCCAUUGUUUUGUGGGUUAGUCUGGUCCCCACUAUGCUACUUCACUGCCCCUACCAAGUAGCCUGGGUGGAGAAGGCUCCCUGCUUUGAUUUCUACUGCCCCAGGCUUUACCCCACCACAUGUAAGUAAGCAAAUUACUUCACUGUAGUUCUAGUUCCCCCUUCUUGCAUCCCUGUAACCUCAAGAUUCUUUUGCUAUUUGGAAGUGGAUAGUUCAUUGUUAAUUCUAGUUCCAUCUUUACUCCUUUGGAGUCCCAAGGCUCUGAUGUCACAUGAGAGUUUGAAGGUUCCUUACCUUCUCUACCUGUAUAGAGAGACUCAAGCUGGGUUCUAAGAUCUGCCAGUACUAUCAGAUUGCUCUCUUCUCUUACCUAAAGUGAGAUGUUGCUCCAGCUUUUCUUUGUUUUGAGGCAAUUUGUUUUCUUUAGUUUUUGCAUUGAGGAAAUGGAGUGCCUUUUCUUCCUACAUCUUAUCUUUCAGCGUGCAACUUUUGUCUUCAUGCAAAAUCUGAAUAAAACUGAAGAGGGCAGUUCUAAAGAGAGGAAGCUGCUGAGGUAUCUAUACACAUAAAUGCACAUAUACACAUAUGUACACAUAUAUACAUCCAUAUAUACAUAUCUAUAUGUCUGUACAUGUAUGCAUGUGUGAACAUAGAAUGGCUUCCGCAUUUUAAAGAUUUUUUUCAUAGACAUUGAAAAUGUUUUUUUUUUACCAAGAAUUCCUUGAGAGCAGAGAUUGACUUUUUUGUCUUUUUCUGUAUCCUUGGUGCUGUACCUGGAACACUUGAGGCACUUACUAAUGAUUGUUGACUUAUUCAAAACCUAGAAUUUAUUUUUUUAAGAUAUAUUAUCUAUAUAAAGAAGAAUGUGCAUUUUUCAAAGACUUUCAAGUUUUUGAACUAUAACACUAAAGGAUGAGAUAGAACACUUUAUUAUCCCUAUUACUACAAGAGGAACCUAAGAAUCAGAGAUGAUGAUUACCUUUGGCUUAUAUGUUUCUGUGCCAAGAAUAAUCCCAUGUGCCUUACCACCAAGUUUAUACUCUGCCUGAUUAUAAGUAAAUUUUCUAGGAAAAAGAAACAUAUAGACAUACACACACACAUACAGACAAAACACAAAUACACAUACAAAUGGUAUCUAGGCUGCUGCAAGAACUGAAGCUAGUGAGGGGGGAAAAGAUUGCAAAAACAGAAAAUUACUCAUAAAUUUAUAAAUUACCUAUCGUUAAGAUCAACGCUGCCAUACUCUUAAGGGAUGUGCAUUAUACAAUGUCACAUGUAUCUGAUAUCUUUUAAUGUAAAAUACUCUCUGUAAGGCUUAUUAUCUUGUUUUAUCUUCAUGACAACUCUGUGGUGAAGGUUACAUAAAUAAUACUUUCCAGAUUUUACAGAAAACAAAAAAAAAAGGAAGAUUCUGGGAAAAAGACAGUACUUGUUCAAGUACACCCAGCUAGUAAAUGGACAAGCCAAGAUUCUGUAGAAAGAAUGCAUUGUCACUUUAAAGAUAUAUUACAGAAUCCAAAUUGUAAGAAGGAAUGGAAUACAUUCUCUCCCUAGUUAAUCUGUGUCACCCUAAGAUUUUAUUAAGAGUGGGACUCACUCUAAUUCCCUACUUAAACUGAAUGUGUAAAUUCUAGCUUGAGUCUCUAGCUGCCUUUCUAAUGAGAUUCACCAUCACCUUUGUCAGAGUUAUGCAGAAAGUGAGGCAGGUCAAGAUUCUUUUGAGAAAAGUGAGGUGGGGGAGGAUUCAGUCUAUUUCGCCUUCUGCAGAUUUGACUAUACCAUUUACUAGCUGUUUGGAACUUUGAACAACUUACUUAACUACUCAUGUUCUUUAAAUCUCAUAUGAAAAGUAUUACUGUGAGAACACCAAUCUGACCUUUUGGUGUACAUAGUUUCAAAGGAGAAAUGCUUGGAAAAAAUAUUGGACAAAUAAAAUAAUUAAAUAUUAUAUAUACAUUUACAUAUACAUAUACAUAUAUACAUAUUUGGAAAAGAACGAGUUCUACAUACCAACUAGUGAAGUUUCCAAAGAAUACAGUUCUUUCAGAACAAAAAUGACACAAUAGAGAAAAGAGAAAUGGAUCCUAUUUUGACUGUGGCAAAGGCUUAAAAGUACAGGUGAAUUUGGAACAACAAAUGCCCAGGUGCCAAGAAGAGGAAAAGAUCAUGAAAAAGUGGUUGUAAUGGAACAGAGAGGAUAUUAUGGAACAGUGAUGAUGUUAUAAGCAUCAGUGUUUGAUAUUAAUAAACAUUUUAAUCACUGACAUAGAUGAAAUAAUAGAUUCCAUAUGAAAUUUGCAAAUAAUUUGUUUUAGCUAUAAUUUUCCCAAACCUAGUACUAUGGAAAAUAUAUUUUUGAAUGUUUUAAAUGAAUAUUACUUUAGAUAUAUCUGUAUCUAUCUCUUUUGAUCUAUAUGACUGUCCAUUUAAUUUAACUGUUGGCAAAUAAGUUAGAGAUGGCUUCCUUUCUUAGCUAUAGAUGUUAGACAACCUAUAUAGAUGUUAGACAACCUAUCUAUAUAGAAGGUUCAUUAGAAAUCACUUUCUUGGGUGUCAUCAUUUACCUGAAUUUGUCUGGUAUUGUGAAUAUGACAACUUUUGGAGCAUCAUUGCCAUUGCUAACAGUAGGCAAUCUGGUUCAGCCUUUUGAGUCUGGGGUGAAUGAGUCACAGUGGGAAAGUGGAUGAUGCACAUCAGGGGCUGUUAUUUUUUUGGCUGCUGAGUACCAUUAUUAUGGUGAUAUGUUCAGUUGGUGUUCAGGGAGGGUUAGAACCUCUACUGUGAGAGCUUGCUGAAUGCUUUUCAGGGCUGCUUAUCCCCGUUUGGUGUCUACCUCUUUCCCAGCUCUUACUUGUGGCUCCAAGCUAUAGUUUUCAGCAGCAGGCUGUUAAAACUGUCCAGGCAGAUGCGUUAAGCUUGGGUUUAUGUCUAACCCUAGCCUUGUGAAGACCUCUCCUGCGAGAACAGAUGGAUGAGGCAAUUUGUUUCAGUAGCCAUGAAGGUGGCUGAAGCAAACACUUUCGAGUGCUUAAAACUUGGAUGGCUAUUAGAGACACUGACAUCAUUUAGGUGCAUUUUCAGUCAUCCUGACUUUUGUCUUGCCACAGGAUUUAGAUGACUCUGGAAGAAAGAGUGAGGCUGACAACUCUGGGCAACUCACUUAAAUCCAAUUCACACAUAAGUUAAGAUAUUACCCUGUGAUGUCACUGGUAUUCUUUGAAAUGAAGGGUCACCACCACCACCACCAAUUGAUGGAACAUAUUUUUUAUUGACUGAAUCAUCCUUUUAUCUUCUUAAAUCUAGCUUUGUUUUAAACUGCCCUUGCAGCUGGCUAAUAUUUUCUUGUAGAUUCCAGAUGAUCAGUUUUUCAGGAGGAAGCUCAAAAAUUAUCUAUUUAAUCCACUCAUUUUGUAGGUGAGGAAAAUGAAGCCCAGAGAAUACAUAUAGAUGACUAGCUCCCCUGCUAAGACUUCAAGUGUCUUGCCUCUAAAUCCAAUGCUCUAUGUUCUUACCUCUGCAUGAUAAUAUAGAGGGUCAUUAGCAAUAGGAAGCAAUUAAAGGUUGCUGUUGCCUCUGGUUAAACCUAGGAAGAAACUUAUACUGUUCUACUCAUUGAAUUAUUCAUAUUCUUAGAUAUCACAAUUAAAAAAGAACCAGUAGAAGAAUUAGUAGAAGAGGAGAUCAGCAGUGGCAAACCUGCAAUGGGAAAAGCUAUAAUGCAGUUUUCCUGGUUUUGCAAUGUCCAAGGAUACAAUUGGAGGAACUUCUUUUGUUUUAAAAAACAUGAUAAACAAGUAAAGAAUGUGCGCAAGCAGGAAGAAACUGACCUAAAGCUGCUGGUGUCUGACUGGACAGAAACUCAAGUUGGCCAUUGGUUAAAGAGUAUUGGAAUGAAAAAAUAUAUCCUGAAAUUUGAUUAUAAAAGAAUAAGAGGUCAAGAACUUCUUGAAUUAGACAAUGAUGCAUUAAAAUGCAUUGGCAUCACUAAGAAGAGAGAUCGCAAGAAAAUCCUUAAGGGAAUUAAGAAAAUUCAACAGACAGAAAAAAAUUAAUACAAUCUAACAAUUAAAUAUAUCAAAAAGAUAAUUCUGGAAGAUACAGCAAAAAUGAGAAAAAUAUAAUUACAUGAUAUUUACCUUUACUCUACUACUUCAACAUAUUAUUGAAACCUUCUGAUUCUUCUGCCAUGAAUCUAGCACACAUUUACUGAGGAGCAGUGAUGGAUGGAAUGACCAUAUAAGCCAAGAGAUUUUGGUGGACCACUGAUCAAGGUCUUCCAAAGAUGAUCAUUCAUUCACUCAUUUCUGCCUUAGCCUGAAAAAGAGCAUCCUGUUUGUUGCACUCUGGAUUCCUUUUUUAUCUUUGGUCCUAGGCUUUUCAGCCUUUGUCUACCAAUUCUUAUGUUGUGUAUACCUUACAGAAUAAUUACCAUGAUGUAUAUCCCCAAUUAAUUCACUAUGCAAUUUUGAAAAUAAAAACUCUGUCUGCUCUUUGAUGCCUACCUUCCAUUAGGAGAGAAAGUUGAUUUACCCCAAUCCACAUAGAAUUGGGUCAGAAAAAAGAAUAUCAACGUUUGUUGCCCAAAUAACAAAAAUCAAUCAGUAGAAUUAUAAUCAUAGAAAAAGAAAAAAAGAGCUGCAAUCUCAUAAAACUUUCAUGACUCAUUGACAGUAUAUAUUGUUUUUUUUUUCAGAAAAAUGGUUCAAAUUAUAAGAAAUUUUCAGGAACUACAACUAAAUUGUUAAAUAUACAUAGAGGACAGUAACCUUAUAGAAUAAUUCUUUGACAAGUAAUUAAGAGGUCUGCAAUUUGUUUUAAGUAUAUGCAAUUUUAAACAUUUUAGUGAAUACCUCUGAGAGUCAGUAAAGUCAUCUCUAAAAUGAAAGCAACUACAUUAGUUGAUUGUUUCUAGCUCUAUGGUUGUUUCUAGCUCUCAUCUUAUCAAGAAUGUCUCCAUGCCUCUGUCAGUAUCUAUUUUUACUUCUGCCUUUCUCUGUUUCUUAGAAUAAUUCAAUAAUGAAAACAACAAAGGAACAGGACAUAUUGAAAACAAUGAUUGUUCUAUGUACUGUAUGCCUGGGUCCAAAUGUUGUAUCUGAAGCUUGUUUACUAUCUGUUACAAUGAACUAUCUCCUUGGUUUUUAGUUUCUUCAUAUGUGAAUUGAAAGCAUUGUUUUUGUAGUUGGGAUUCAGCAAUUUCUAACAUAACUUCCUUUAUGACACCAUAACACAAUCAAAAUAAUAAUUAAAGGACUAUAAGCAAAGUACACAAUAAAGGGAGGCCCCUCAAACAACAAAUUAUAUGAUUUAAGUAUAGGGUGAUGGAUAAUGAUGAUAAUAAAAUAGCAUAGCAAAAUUUCUGCAUUGAUGAUGCUUGGAUGAUUCUCACUGAAAAAAUUAUGUCCUAAAAUUGACAGAGAGUUAAGAUGAAGUAAGUGGACAGCACAUUAAAAAUAGAAAAUCAAUACACAUGUUAGCUAAACCUAACAUGUACAAAAACUUUUAAUUAGAAAAGACACAGAGAAACAAAAUGUUCCACAAAGUGGUAAACAAAAUGAAAAACUGAUUCUUCAAAAGUGCCAGAAAAAAGGUUAGAUCUUGAGCCCUAACAAACCAAAAGUGAUGUGGAAUAAAAUGUGAAAUUGAAUAAGAAACAAGAACAGGAAUGUCAGAAGCCAUAAAAAUCAUCCCUAUAUCUCCUUGAUAUUACUUGGUUGUAUCCCAGAUUACCUUUGUUUCCUGCCAAAACAAAUGAAAACCCAAGAGACACAUUACCUACCAGUAACCACAUAAAUGAUCCAAAUGUAUGUAAUACUCUUUACAAAUCUGAAACAAACUAACUCAGAAAAGAGAACUGAUCUCUGGAGAA